CCUACGGGAGGCAGCAGUUGGGAAUAUUGCACAAUGGGCGCAAGCCUGAUGCAGCCAUGCCGCGUGUGUGAAGAAGGCCUUCGGGUUGUAAAGCACUUUCAGCGGGGAGGAAGGCGGUGAGGUUAAUAACCUCAUCGAUUGACGUUACCCGCAGAAGAAGCACCGGCUAACUCCGUGCCAGCAGCCGCGGUAAUACGGAGGGUGCAAGCGUUAAUCGGAAUUACUGGGCGUAAAGCGCACGCAGGCGGUCUGUCAAGUCGGAUGUGAAAUCCCCGGGCUCAACCUGGGAACUGCAUUCGAAACUGGCAGGCUAGAGUCUUGUAGAGGGGGGUAGAAUUCCAGGUGUAGCGGUGAAAUGCGUAGAGAUCUGGAGGAAUACCGGUGGCGAAGGCGGCCCCCUGGACAAAGACUGACGCUCAGGUGCGAAAGCGUGGGGAGCAAACAGGAUUAGAUACCCUAGUAGUC
RNAcentral lists this ribosomal RNA (465 nucleotides) under uncultured Klebsiella sp. RNAcentral describes it as "bacterial SSU rRNA". It matches the Rfam family "Bacterial small subunit ribosomal RNA", at positions 338 to 795 of the family's 1533-position model. The record is from RNAcentral. Lineage: Bacteria; Pseudomonadati; Pseudomonadota; Gammaproteobacteria; Enterobacterales; Enterobacteriaceae.